This 86-nucleotide microRNA precursor is filed under the name Caenorhabditis japonica. Its description in RNAcentral is "mir-81 microRNA precursor family". It matches the Rfam family "mir-81 microRNA precursor family". The record is from Rfam by way of RNAcentral. Lineage: Eukaryota; Metazoa; Nematoda; Chromadorea; Rhabditida; Rhabditidae.
AUUCUUCUAGCGACCGGUUUUCUCCGUGAUCUGCAGAGCUUUUGCAUACUUCUGAGAUCAUCGUGAAAGCCAGUUGCUUAAAAGAA